UACGUAGGGUGCGAGCGUUAAUCGGAAUUACUGGGCGUAAAGGGCGCGUAGGCGGCCUUGUAAGUCCUGUGUGAAAUCCCCCGGCUCAACUGGGGAACUGCACAGGAGACUGCUUGGCUUGAGUUCGGGAGAGGGAAGCGGAAUUCCGGGUGUAGCGGUGAAAUGCGUAGAUAUCCGGAGGAACACCGGUGGCGAAGGCGGCUUCCUGGACCGACACUGACGCUGAGGCGCGAAAGCCAGGGGAGCAAACGGG
RNAcentral lists this ribosomal RNA (253 nucleotides) under uncultured bacterium. RNAcentral describes it as "partial 16S ribosomal RNA". It matches the Rfam family "Bacterial small subunit ribosomal RNA", at positions 524 to 776 of the family's 1533-position model. The record is from RNAcentral.